Molecule: ribosomal RNA, 500 nt
Filed under: uncultured bacterium
Lineage: Bacteria
Description: partial 16S ribosomal RNA
Rfam family: Bacterial small subunit ribosomal RNA
Source: RNAcentral
AUUGAACGCUGGCGGAAUGCUUUACACAUGCAAGUCGAACGGCAGCACGGACUUCGGUCUGGUGGCGAGUGGCGAACGGGUGAGUAAUGUAUCGGAACGUGCCCAGUCGUGGGGGAUAACGUAGUGAAAAUUACGCUAAUACCGCAUACGAUCUAUGGAUGAACGCGGGGGAUCGCAAGACCUCGCGCGAUUGGAGCGGCCGAUAUCAGAUUAGGUAGUUGGUGGGGUAAAGGCCCACCAAGCCAACGAUCUGUAGCUGGUCUGAGAGGACGACCAGCCACACUGGAACUGAGACACGGUCCAGACUCCUACGGGAGGCAGCAGUGGGGAAUUUUGGACAAUGGGCGAAAGCCUGAUCCAGCCAUUCCGCGUGCAGGAUGAAGGCCCCCGGGUUGUAAACUGCUUUUGUACAGAACGAAAAGGUUUCUACUAAUACUAGGAGCUCAUGACGGUACUGUAAGAAUAAGCACCGGCUAACUACGUGCCAGCCGCCGCGGUAA